This 83-nucleotide transfer RNA is filed under the name Oryctolagus cuniculus (rabbit). It matches the Rfam family "tRNA". Rfam says of the family: Transfer RNA (tRNA) molecules are approximately 80 nucleotides in length. Their secondary structure includes four short double-helical elements and three loops (D, anti-codon, and T loops). The record is from Rfam by way of RNAcentral. Lineage: Eukaryota; Metazoa; Chordata; Mammalia; Lagomorpha; Leporidae.
GGCACAGUGGCACAGUAGGUUAAAGCCCUGGCCUGCAGUGCUGGCAUCCCAUAUGGGUGCUGGUUCAAAUCCUGUCUGUUCCA